Molecule: ribosomal RNA, 236 nt
Filed under: uncultured bacterium
Lineage: Bacteria
Description: partial 16S ribosomal RNA
Rfam family: Bacterial small subunit ribosomal RNA
Source: RNAcentral
CGGGACGGGUGAGUAACGCGUGGAUAACCUGCCUCACACUGGGGGAUAACAGUUAGAAAUGGCUGCUAAUACCGCAUAAGCGCACAGUACCGCAUGGUACGGUGUGAAAAACCCAGGUGGUGUGAGAUGGAUCCGCGUCUGAUUAGCCAGUUGGCGGGGUAACGGCCCGCCAAAGCGACGAUCAGUAGCCGACCUGAGAGGGUGACCGGCCACAUUGGGACUGAGACACGGCCCAA